This 326-nucleotide long non-coding RNA is filed under the name Mus spicilegus (steppe mouse). RNAcentral's name for it is "lncRNA (ENSMSIG00000024218.1)". Lineage: Eukaryota; Metazoa; Chordata; Mammalia; Rodentia; Muridae. The record is from RNAcentral.
UGGAUAUAACAUUUCUAAUUUUUUUCCUUUUAAGUUUUACAUUUUAAAAGGGUUUUUAGAGAUAUGUGACUUUCCUAUUUUAUAUGUUCUUAGCUUUGCUUUCCCUGAGCACAGAAUCUGAACAGAGACUGCGGGCAGGCACAUAACCAGAAGAAAGAACAUCAUCUACUCUCUUACAAGCCACAGGAUUUCUGGGCUCAGAGCUGCUGGAGACCUCAUUCAGACACAGAUGCCACUGUAGCAGUUUCUCCUUGGCUCCUAGCAGUCGGUCAGGUAGCAGUCUACGCUGCAGGUGCCAAGGAUCCAUCAGUGAAGAAAGUCACUGC